This 462-nucleotide long non-coding RNA is filed under the name Homo sapiens (human). RNAcentral's name for it is "long non-coding RNA NONHSAT087807.2". Lineage: Eukaryota; Metazoa; Chordata; Mammalia; Primates; Hominidae. The record is from RNAcentral.
AAUUUACUGCUCCGGCUUCCAUUUCUAGGAGGAAGAGUUUGCCAGCCCGGGAUGGAGGCUUCACCCUGGAAGACAUCUGCAUGCUGAACGAAAGGACCGUGGCAGCACCACCAGCCUUGGCAGCGACUUCUCCCUGGUCAUGGAGAGUUCCCCAGGAGCCACUGGGAGCUUCACCUAUGAGGCCGUGGAGCUGGUCCCAGCAGGAGCGCCAACUCAGGCAGCUUGAGGAAGAGCCACUCAUCCUCUCCACAGAGUGUCCUCUGGAACCGGCCACAACCCUCAGAGGACCGCUUGCCUUCCCAGCAGGGGCUGGCGGAAGCCAGGUCUUCCAGCUCCUCUUCCUCAAACCAUUCUGAUAACUUUUUCAGGAUGGGUAGCAGUCCCCUGGAGGUCCCCAAACCCAGUCAGUGGACCAUCCCCUGCCCGGAUCCUCUCUCUCCACAGACUAUGGCAGCUGGCAGA